This is a long non-coding RNA of Gadus macrocephalus (Pacific cod), 583 nucleotides long. RefSeq lists it as uncharacterized. Lineage: Eukaryota; Metazoa; Chordata; Actinopteri; Gadiformes; Gadidae. The transcript is spliced from 2 exons. The record is from RefSeq and is a predicted model, not a curated record.
GAACCUACGGACUUCAGUGGGGGUUUCAUUCCGUCUGCGCACGGCACCUUCUCAACGAUAAUCAAUGAUCUUCCUCCCACUCAGGGUGAAAAUGGUAGGUCUUAGCUCGUUUCCCCUCAGCCAUGCCAACGUUUAGGAGUGUGUAACUACUGUUGACGGCUUUCAACUGCUGUUGACAGCGCAUGCGCUACCGCGCGUAUAUGUGCCGCGCAAAUUUUAUUUUAUUCAAAAAAUUAAUUAAAUUAUUAUUAUUAUAUAUUUUUUUUUUCACCCCUCGUGAUCGACUUGGGAUCUGUCGGCGAUCGACUGGUAGAUCGCGAUCGACUGGUUGGGCACCCCUGGUCUAGAGUAUACAGUCUACAGUAUAACAAAUUAACAUGGCCUGGGACCUAAAGAAAAACAGGCACAACAUGCUCAAACAACGCGUCUUGUGUACAUUGGUGAGGUGAGCGCGCAGCUGCCUGAGCGAGCGUGCUUUCAUGUUGUAUGGUAAAAUUCAAUCUCCUCUUUUUUACUCCAGCUAAAGUUGUUAGUUAGCAAGGCGAGUAGGAGCGCAAUCUGCAGGAUACUAAUCGCAAUAACA